This 375-nucleotide ribosomal RNA is filed under the name uncultured bacterium. Its description in RNAcentral is "bacterial SSU rRNA". It matches the Rfam family "Bacterial small subunit ribosomal RNA", at positions 335 to 704 of the family's 1533-position model. The record is from RNAcentral.
ACUCCUACGGGAGGCAGCAGUGGGGAAUAUUGGACAAUGGGGGAAACCCUGAUCCAGCCAUGCCGCGUGUGUGAAGAAGGCCUUCGGGUUGUAAAGCACUUUCAGUGGGGAGGAAGGUUGUUGGUUAAUACCUAACAGCUGUGACGUUACCCACAGAAGAAGCACCGGCUAACUCCGUGCCAGCAGCCGCGGUAAUACGGAGGGUGCAAGCGUUAAUCGGAAUUACUGGGCGUAAAGCGUGCGCAGGCGGUCUGUUAAGCGAGAUGUGAAAGCCCCGGGCUCAACCUGGGAACUGCAUUUCGAACUGGCAGACUAGAGUCUUGUAGAGGGGGUAGAAUUCCAGGUGUAGCGGUGAAAUGCGUAGAGAUCUGGAGG